This 403-nucleotide ribosomal RNA is filed under the name Verrucomicrobiota bacterium. RNAcentral's name for it is "Verrucomicrobia bacterium partial 16S ribosomal RNA". It matches the Rfam family "Bacterial small subunit ribosomal RNA", at positions 355 to 776 of the family's 1533-position model. Lineage: Bacteria; Pseudomonadati; Verrucomicrobiota. The record is from RNAcentral.
UGGGGAAUAUUGCACAAUGGGCGCAAGCCUGAUGCAGCAACGCCGCGUGAACGAUGAAGGUCUUCGGAUCGUAAAGUUCUGUUGCAGGGGUAGAUAAUGACGGUACCCUGUGAGGAAGCCCCGGCUAACUACGUGCCAGCAGCCGCGGUAAUACGUAGGGGGCUAGCGUUAUUCGGAUUUACUGGGCGUAAAGGGUGCGUAGGUGGUCUUUCAAGUCGGUGGUUAAAGGCUACGGCUCAACCGUAGUUAGCCUCCGAAACUGGAAGACUUGAGUGCAGGAGAGGAAAGUGGAAUUCCCAGUGUAGCGGUAAAAUGCGUAGAUAUUGGGAGGAACACCAGUAGCGAAGGCGGCUUUCUGAACUGCAACUGACACUAAGGCACGAAAGCGUGGGUAGCAAACAGG